Molecule: microRNA, 21 nt
Filed under: Solanum tuberosum (potato)
Lineage: Eukaryota; Viridiplantae; Streptophyta; Magnoliopsida; Solanales; Solanaceae
Description: stu-miR482b-5p
Gene: stu-miR482b-5p
Source: miRBase by way of RNAcentral
GGAGUGGGUGGCAUGGUAAGA